UCCCAGACAGACCCAACGGUGGCCUAUGAGGCAAUUGAGGCCCAGAGAGGUCAAGCCAUGAGCCUGAGGUCACACAGCAAAGGGGUAGCAGCAGCUGAGCUUGAAACCAGGCAUUUGGGAACCAGAGCCUGUACUGCUGUCGGGGAAACACAAGCUAACCAAGCAUGAGUGUGAGGACUCCAUGGGGCAGCCUGGCCCAGGGGAGACAGAGAGAUGGGAAGUGCCCCAGGGAUGGGAGCCCCUCCUAAGGAGCUGCUUUUUGAAAAAAUAUUCCAGCAAGAAGAAUUGGGUGUAGAGCGGUGGUUAGGAACCUGGCUAGACGCAAGACUUACCUGGUGCCUUGAAAACUGCCCCCUGGCACUGAUUCCCCAGGUCUGGGCUGGGGCCCAGGAGUCUGCAUUUCUGAGACGCCCCAGGCCCUUCCACUGGGAAGCUGUGUCCAUGCACCUGUCUCUGUGACCCUGGGCGCUUAGCUUUGCCCCCAGGCCUCAGUUUCCACACCUGAGAAGUGGGACUACUAUUGCUUUGCCCGGGAAUGGCUAUAAUUUAAAGGUUCAGAUCUCAGCUACCCUGCCUGGUGCAAACCCCGCUUAAACACUUCCAUAUUGCCCGGGAGGAAUGUCGCGGGAAGCCGCCCCCACCGCUCCCUCCCUUCCCAGGGCGGAGAAUGCGAGGGCAGGUGUGUUCCCAGUAUGGAGGCUGCCCACGCGUGACGGCGAGACCGCCAGCCCGGCGACAGCCAGAGACCAAGGCAGGGAACCUGCAGGCCACACCUGGGGGUGAGGACCAUGGGACACCCCCAACUACCCCCCUCCGACAGAAAAGUUGUCCCUUCCACAGCGUAGGCCCGCUCUCACUAAUUCCUGCGCCAAAUGGUGUAAUUACCACUUAAGUUGUCAAAUGGCAUCCAGAUGGUCUUACCUUUCACACCAGCGGUUUAAUAAGCUUUUAGGCCUGACCUCUGCAGCGCGUCCUCCACCUGCGCAGCCCCGACUUGCGAAACCCGAGCCCACAAUUAGAUCUGAUAAUGAGAGCGGAGAGCGCCCGGCCUUGAACUCUGCAAGCUGCUUCAAGGGGUGCCCAGCAAGUCACCCCACGCCACUGACAAAUGGCAUGUGUCCCUCCACAAAUGGGUCCCCCCCCAUGCACAGGCACCCUGGGGGCCCGCCGGGGAGAUCACAGGCCCAGAAGCCCUGAGGCCCGAGAUCGCCCUGGGGGGCCAGGCCUCGUGCUGGGAGCUUGGGCAGGCUGUAGCUGGAGCCGAAUUCCAGCAAACUGGAGGCUCAGACCUGAGAGUGACCCCAAGGGGCAGCCCCCCUGGGAGGAGCCAUUUCUAGUGCCGACACCUCCACCAGCACCAACAACAGGUGGGCACCCCCACAUGCGGCUCACCCCACUGCCGAAAAGCCGCCUGUGACUGUCUGUCGAUUUGUAUUUCCUUGAGCCAAAGUUGCUUCUCGGUGAAGCUCUUGCUACGGGGAGCGUGAUCUCGCAUUGCAGACAACAGCGUCCCAGUGUCUGCUUUGAAAAUCAAAUUAUUCUUUCCCGGGACGGGGCAAAGCCCUCUGAUACUUAUGGAACUAACACAUACCAGGCACCAUGUCCAGGGCUUCACGCCUACCGACUUCCUUAAUCCUCACAGUAACUUAAGUACUGUUUUUAUCCCUCAUUUGCAGAUUAGAAAACUGUCUCGUAGAGAGGUUAAGUGACUUACCUAAGGUCACACAGCAGGCAAGUGAUGGGAAUGGCAUUUGAAACUAGGUGAGGAAUCAGACAUCACGAUUGUGUACAAACUGUGAUCCCUUUGGACAAAAAGAUUUAAUUAAAAAUGGAUUGAUACACAUGCAGGAUAAUAUAAUGUUAUUAUAUAUACUAAACCAAACUGAAAGGUUUGUGUCAGGGUUUGGAAAAUUCCAAAUAUUUCUAAAAGAGCCCCCCACACGGAUGUUCUCAAGCCGACGGAGGUGGGCGGUACAGAGAGAGACGCAGACCUAAAGACAUGUCCGCGCUGGGUGACGGCAGCAAGUGACCAAGGAAGGUGCAUACUCGAGCUCUCAGCCAGGGAGAGAAUUUUCCACGUGCGAGUCUCAUCUCUGAACUCUGCCAAGAGGAGAGUCUGGUGCAGAUGGCUGACACUCAGGAAGAGGAGAGGCCCAUAGUGUCGUUCCUCACAGUCAGCUUGGCUUCUCAAACCCCAAAAUAAACAUGAUGCUCCGAUAUCAGCAUUUUUACUACAAUAAUGGUGUGGGCAAGGGGAAGCGCUGGCCUUUCAAAACGCAUCUGCAUCUACCAGGGGACACAGACGUGUGAGGAGAUGCCAACAGUCCCCACCUGGGCAGGUGUUGGUCUGUGGUCCUCACUCCUGGGAAGGGCCUACUCUGCCAAAAAUUCCUUGGUAGGAAAUCUUGACAGGCAAGGCUUUAAAUAAUGCAAGUGGCUCCUUCCAAGGCUGGUACCAUCAGAACAUAACCAAUAUAUUUAAUCAUGAUCCGGGGGUCCCUGGUGACAGUUCUAGGACUGCCUGCAUUGAGAGCACCAGGAAAAGCCCACCUGGUCUUGGGAACCCCCCACCACCUGCGGAUCUCAGUGGUGGGUAGAUCCGUCCACGGACCCCUUCCUAAGCCCGGUGGCCACCACAGCCCACACCUCUGUGUCUUGACAUCAGCCAUUCCCCUUGCUCAGAACGUCUUUGUCCCUUGUCUACCUGGAGGACUCCUGCUCACGACCAAAGAUGCCAUCACCUCUGUCCCAGCCACGUCCCACUGCCAUGUCCGUGGGACUCGACGUCCCCACCCUCUGAGAGCUGGAUCUGUCCUCCUCCACCCACGCCUGGGAAGGCACUUGGCCCACAGGGUGGAUGCUCAGCACACCCCACCGGAUCAUUCCUCCCCUUACUUCCUCCUCUCCCUGGCACGUGUGCUCCUUGUGGGCAGGGACUGAGCGUGUCCAUUUCUGUGUCCCCGUGCCCGGGCUGGGCAGGUGGCACCUGUGUCAGCAUUGCUGAAUCACUGCAGCUCCACCUUCUGUACGCCUUGAUCCACACACCUCCCUUGGAGCGGGAUUCAGCCAGAAUCCCAGAAGUACACAGUGUUCCCAAUUCAGGGCUCCUGGACACUAGAGGACAGCAAAGAAAUUGAGUCUCUUGUAUUAUUGUCAACAUUUCAAUGUUUCCAAUAGAAAUAGUUUUAGUACCUAAAAUGAAGCCACAGAGGGUGCUCGAAACAUUCAAGCUCUCUAAUUUUUUUUUGAGACAGAGUCCUGCUCUGUUGUCCAGGCUGGAAUGUGC
Molecule: non-coding RNA, 3286 nt
Organism: Microcebus murinus (gray mouse lemur)
Lineage: Eukaryota; Metazoa; Chordata; Mammalia; Primates; Cheirogaleidae
Source: RefSeq, a predicted model, not a curated record